RNAcentral lists this transfer RNA (67 nucleotides) under Hemicaecilius mockfordi. RNAcentral's name for it is "tRNA-Thr". Lineage: Eukaryota; Metazoa; Arthropoda; Insecta; Psocodea; Sphaeropsocidae. The record is from RNAcentral.
GUUUUAAUAAUUUAAAUAAAAAUAUUGGUCUUGUAAAUCAAAUAUGAAUAAGUAUAUUCUUAAAACU